Molecule: long non-coding RNA, 2193 nt
Filed under: Mus musculus (house mouse)
Lineage: Eukaryota; Metazoa; Chordata; Mammalia; Rodentia; Muridae
Description: long non-coding RNA chr16:3770565-3772758
Source: RNAcentral
AAGUCAUCAAUAAAUUCCUUUACUAUUUAGAGAUUAUCCAUAAGUUCUGUGACUCUAGAGAACCCUGACUAAUACACCAGGCAUGGACACCAGUGGAGCAAUGGGAACACUAACCUACUCACAAAACUUUCAACCCAAAAUUUAUCCUGUCUACAAGAAAUGUAAGGAUGGUGAUGGAGCAGAGACUGAGGGAAUGGCCAAGCAAUAACUGGCCAACUUGAGGCCCAUCCCAUGGGCAAGCACUAAUCCCUGACACUAUUAAUGAUACUCUGUUAUGCUUGCAGACAGGAGCCAAGCAUAACUGUCCUCUGAAAGGUUCCACCCAGCAACUGACUGAAACAGAUGUUGAGGCUCACAGAUUAACAUUGGAUGGAGCUUGGGGACUCUUAUGGAGGGCUUGGGGGAAGAAUUGAGGGCCCUGAAGGGAAAGAGAACUCCACAGGAAGACUAACAACAGAAUCAAUUAACCUGGACCCUUGGGGGCUCUCAGAGACUGACCAGCAAACAAAGAACAUACACAGGCUGGACCAAAUCCCCCACAUGUGUGGGAGAUUUGGUCUUCAUGUGGGUCCCCCAACAGCUGGAGCGAGACUGUCCCUAGAGAUGUUGCCUAUCUGUAGACUACAUCCCCCUAGCUGGGCUGCCUUGUCUAGCCUCAGUUGGAGAGGAUGCACCUGGCCCUGUGGAGAUUUCAUGUGCCAGUGUGGAGUGAUACCCAAGGGUGACCUCCACUCUCUCAGAGGAGAAGGGGAGGGAAGAUGGGGGCAGGGACUGUGUGAGGGGUGACCAGGAUGGAGGGAAGCAAUCGGGAUAUAAAGUGAAUUUUUAAAAACUAGUGUAAUGAUGUGUCCUCCUAGCUCACUAAGAGUGAAAUCCCCGUGAAUCUCCCUUUGGUGGCUGGCUGGUCAGUUCACAACUAGUGAACUAGCUAGUGAGGUGCUAGUGGUGGGGGGUGCACACCCAGACCCUGGAGAGCUUUGUUUAAGUGUACUUGUUGAUUUUUCAUUCUAAAGCUGUUAUCUCUUCCAUACUCCUUCACAUUUGCUCUUCCUGUGUCUGCUCCAUCUUUAUAAAGGACACUACCUCUUGAUGACUCUGGUUGUCAUCCUUAUAUGGCCUUUGCUUUCACCCUGCCAUCCUCCAUCAAUCAUAGCCAACUGAAUGAUAUGUUCUUGACUGCCUUCAGAAUGCAGCUUCAGAAUCCCGCCACGUCUUAGCCUCUUGCACUAUGAACAUUUUGGCCGACAUCAGCAAUUCCUGGAGCCAGGUACAUUUCUGGAUGGCACUCACAACUCCAUUCUUGCCCUAUUGUACCCUUUAAUAUUUUAACUGUACCAUAUUAUCCACUGAUAUUUUUAAAUCCUGUGAUGGCUUUUCAUAUUCAAGAUGAACUGCCAGCCCUUUGCCACAGCCUUCGCACCCUGCACAAGCCAGUCCCCCUCUGUUCCUUUUGGCCUUGCUGUUUCUUCAUCCUCCUGUCCUGUCUCUUCGUGCACUCGAUCUGCUCAUUGCCACCCUCCUGUAGCCUCUACUCAGCUCUCUAGGAUCCUGGUUUCUCACUUUCAAACUCUUAAAUUCUGCGGAGUUCAGAGCAACACUCAAAGGGAAGAAUGCAACCAUAUCUGUUUAUCAAUUGACAAUUCAUAGAAACAGAUGAGCUUGGGGAUUGGUAGACACUGUUCUUAUUUACAAUGGGGAAACUAUUUCUGGGAGCAUACUUGCAAAGUUGUCCCUCCUCUAAUGAGAGAAUCCACAUAUUCAAUAUUUUAGAGAUGUUUAUAGACAAAACUGAGAAAUUUCCCCUGGCUCUCUUACUCCCUGUGCCUACUCAGCAAACAUGGCUGUUGUGGCACUAACAUGCACCAAAGACUAGAGAAUGGCCCCUUAGCUCUUAUUGCCCAGUCCCAGGUGAACUUUUCAGUUAUUUAGGGCUCCCUGAGCUUCACCUUAUCUUUUCUCAGACCCACUCUGCUCAGCAGGAACCCUUAGAUGUCUGAGCAAGUCAGUUUGCUGGGGCAAAAUACCUGAUAGAAAGUAGGGAGAAGGACUGGCAAGAUGGCUCAGUGGUUAAGACCACCGACUGCUCUUCCAAAGGUCCCGAGUUCAAAUCUCAGCAACCACAUGGUGGCUCACAACCAUCCAUAACGAAAUCUGAUGCCCUCUUCUGGAGUAUCUGAGGACAGCUACAGUGUA